UAGAACGGUGGUUAGCAUAUGGUAAGCAUUAUAUACGUUCUCCAUAAAAUCAAUAAAUGAAAAUAAAGGUCCACGUGCUCUUCCUCAUCACAAAGAAUUCUGUUUGCACCCAUAGAUUUAUUCAUUCAAAGAUUGUUCACUGAGGGCCCCUCUGUGCCAGGCACCCCUCUAAGAGCUGGGGAAUAAGGCAGUGAACAUAACACACACAAGUUACAUUCUCCCAGGGGAGACAGAAAACAUAGGAAUGGACAACUAGAAUGAUAGAUCAUGCCUGGUACCAUGGGGAAAACAGCAUUCUAGCUGGAAAGAACAGCCCGUGCACAGGCGUGAGGCGUGAAGGAAUAACUAGCAUCACAGGGAGAGAGUGGGCAGUGCGUGUCAGAGAUUCAAGCGUGUCCAUCCUCCAGGUGGUGUGCAUCACACUCACUAUGUGAGAUUGCAACACUGAACAGUUGCCGUUCACGGGUUGUACACCCGGACAGCUGCGUCUCAGGACCAGGGACUCCCGGCUCUGCCGCUGGCCCGGCCCGGCCCAGCCUGAUUAGCCGCGUGACCCGAAGCUGUGGAGAGCCUUGUUUUCUCUGACAAGAAUACUAACGCCCUCCUCCUAGGGGUAUGGCAGGAAUUAAUGAGAUGGCAUGUGCAAUGUGCCAUGACCUUCACAAAAGAAAGCCUUACAUCACUGUAAAGCAAAAUUAUAAAAAAUGUACCAAGAAUGGGUGGCGUUAAUGGGUCUCUAAUUUAUUGAAGACAAAUCAUGCGGCAUGUUUAGUUAGCUUCACAGAGGCCAAGUUACAAUGCUAGCCUUUAACUCUCCGAAGAGAAAGCAAAUGCAUUUUAUUCCCUGCAGUUUUCAAACAGAGAGU
Molecule: non-coding RNA, 866 nt
Organism: Microcebus murinus (gray mouse lemur)
Lineage: Eukaryota; Metazoa; Chordata; Mammalia; Primates; Cheirogaleidae
Source: RefSeq, a predicted model, not a curated record